UUUUUUUUUUUUUUUUUCGAGAUGGAGUCUUGCUCUGUUGCCCAGGCUGGAGUGCAGUGAUCUCGGCUCACUGCAGCCUCUGCCUCCCAGGUUCAGGCAAUUCUGCUUCCUGAGCCUCCUGAGUAGCUGGGAUUACAGGCGCCUGCCACCAUACCUGGCUAAUAUUUUGUAUUUUUAGUAGAGAUGGGGUUUCAUCAUGUUGGUCAGGCUGGUCUCAAACUCCUGACCUUAGGUGAUCCACCCGCCUUGGCCUCCCAAAGUGAUGGGAUUACAGGUGUGGGCCACCAUGCCUGGUCACUUUUUGCUUUUUAUCAUUGAACUGAAACUUGUUUCCAUUGUAGUUCUGUAACCCAGAAUAAGUGCAAAAUCUCAUCUCUAGAAAACGCCCAAGGAGGGUUCUAAUUAACUCCAGGGUGGUAGUGGCAGAGGAGGGGUGGAGAGGGAAGGUGUCACACUGGGGGCUGUCAAAGUCAUUUUAGCUUGCUCUAAGUUGUGUUGGCAUGCCGGGAAGCUCUUUAAUAAUAGUAGCUAUCAUCUAUUGAAUGCUUCACUAGGUGCCAGGCAUAAUGUCUAGGCAUUUGAGGGAAUUCUGAUUUCAUCUUCAUUAGGACGCUGUGCAAAAAUGGAGGCUUUGAGAGGUGAAAUGACUUGCUCAAGGUCACACAGUAAGAUAGUAAGCGGUUAGGGAGAUCAGGAUCUGACUCCGGGCUGAGUGGUUCUUCCUGCUUGGUCCGUGCCCUGUUGAGAUGUUUAUUUGAUAGGAUCCUGUGUGACUCCAGUCCCACAACUCCCUGAAAUGGAAAGGAGGUGGGAGGGUGGUCCGCCACGUUUCCUCCUGGCCCUGCCACUUGCGCAAGGCCUCUGGAUUUGGGAGGCAGAAGCUGUGGCAACUGGAAGAAGGAGAGGCUGGCACAGGGGUGUAGGUGUGUGGGUUCUGGCUGCAUGGCUGAUUCUGGAUGGUGGGGAAAGAGGUGUGCUUAGGAGGAGUCUGGCAUUUGCUGGUUUCUGACACUUCCCUCUUUUUGCCGGCAAGCCCGUCACCCACAGUCAUCUCCUGAGCACCUUCAGUGUGCCCAGAACUGUGCCGCGGUGGGCAUGGAGGUAACAUGGACCUGGACAGUGCCUGUGAGUGAUGCUGGGGGACAAGAUGCCACACCUGAGAUGAUCAGCAACAGUGCAGGCAGAAGAAAAGGCGAGGACCCAGGAGGAGGCCUGGUCUUGGGGCCACAGGUGCUUGCAGAGGAUGUGGGACUUUUAGCUCGGAUGGCAUUGAGAUUAGCAGAGUAGGCGGAGAAGCUACCCCAUUGGAAGGAAGUUUUCCUGCCUCUUGGUACUCCUUCCUUUCAGUUCACCCCUUAAAUUUCAGGGUGUCUUAUAGAAUUCGAUCUCAGGCUCUGCCCGGGUCAUACCCUCUCCCUGGACGACAGCAUCACUCUGGUGGUUCUGUCUCCCUUGGACCUGUAGAUGCCUCAGUUGUCCCAACCAGAAACCUGG
This is a long non-coding RNA of Macaca fascicularis (crab-eating macaque), 1494 nucleotides long. The record is from Ensembl. NCBI's taxonomy places the organism in Eukaryota, Metazoa, Chordata, Mammalia, Primates, Cercopithecidae.